AGGACGAACGCUGGCGGCGUGCUUAACACAUGCAAGUCGAGCGGAAAGGCCCUUCGGGGUACUCGAGCGGCGAACGGGUGAGUAACACGUGAGCAACCUGGCCCUUGCUUUGGGAUAACCCCGGGAAACCGGGGCUAAUACCGAAUAUUCACUGUCUGCCGCAUGGUGGGUGGUGGAAAGAUUUAUUGGCGGGGGAUGGGCUCGCGGCCUAUCAGCUUGUUGGUGGGGUGAUGGCCUACCAAGGCGACGACGGGUA
RNAcentral lists this ribosomal RNA (256 nucleotides) under uncultured bacterium. RNAcentral's name for it is "partial small subunit ribosomal RNA". It matches the Rfam family "Bacterial small subunit ribosomal RNA", at positions 26 to 285 of the family's 1533-position model. The record is from RNAcentral.